Transfer RNA from Camelus ferus (Wild Bactrian camel), 73 nucleotides. It matches the Rfam family "tRNA". From Rfam's summary of the family: Transfer RNA (tRNA) molecules are approximately 80 nucleotides in length. Their secondary structure includes four short double-helical elements and three loops (D, anti-codon, and T loops). NCBI's taxonomy places the organism in Eukaryota, Metazoa, Chordata, Mammalia, Artiodactyla, Camelidae. The record is from Rfam.
GUGGGUGUAGCUCAAGUGGUAGAGCACAUGCCUAGCAUGCACAAAGCCCUGGGUUCAAUCCCCAACAUCGUCU